UAGUAAAGUACUCUGCGCAUGGU
Molecule: microRNA, 23 nt
Filed under: Ornithorhynchus anatinus (platypus)
Lineage: Eukaryota; Metazoa; Chordata; Mammalia; Monotremata; Ornithorhynchidae
Description: Oan-Novel-6_3p (mature (guide))
Source: RNAcentral